GUUGUUGGGUAGGGGAGCGUUCUGUAAGCCGUUGAAGGUGACCUGUGAGGGUUGCUGGAGGUAUCAGAAGUGCGAAUGCUGACAUAAGUAACGAUAAUGCGGGUGAAAAACCCGCACGCCGGAAGACCAAGGGUUCCUGUCCAACGUUAAUCGGGGCAGGGUGAGUCGACCCCUAAGGCGAGGCUGAAAAGCGUAGUCGAUGGGAAACAGGUUAAUAUUCCUGUACUUGGUGUUACUGCGAAGGGGGGACGGAGAAGGCUAGGCUAGCCGGGCGACGGUUGUCCCGGUUUAAGCAUGUAGGCGGAGUGACUUGGUAAAUCCGGUUGCUUAUCAACGCUGAGGUGUGAUGACGAGCCACUACGGUGGUGAAGUAGUUGAUGCCAAGCUUCCAGGAAAAGCCUCUAAGCAUCAGGUAACAUUAAAUCGUACCCCAAACCGACACAGGUGGUCAGGUAGAGAAUACUCAGGCGCUUGAGAGAACUCGGGUGAAGGAACUAGGCAAAAUGGUGCCGUAACUUCGGGAGAAGGCACGCUGGCAUUAGGUAAAG
Molecule: ribosomal RNA, 548 nt
Filed under: Yersinia enterocolitica
Lineage: Bacteria; Pseudomonadati; Pseudomonadota; Gammaproteobacteria; Enterobacterales; Yersiniaceae
Description: partial 23S ribosomal RNA
Rfam family: Bacterial large subunit ribosomal RNA
Source: RNAcentral